GGCCUGAGUCAGGCCUUUCCCUCGCUGUCCCAGAAACACACAGGCCCUCCUCGCCCUGUUUGCCCCACGCACACAUACAGUCCUCGGGUGAGAAAUCCCUCCUACAUCACAGGGCGGGGGGCACCAUCUUCCCCAAGCCCAGGUCUUUUGGGGGGUCCCAUGACCCCCUGCCCCCAGGCCUCCUGGCCAGGCAUGGGCGUCCCUGAGUGGCUGUGCCCGCUCCAGCGCCCCCGUGUCCCCAUGCCUGCCAGUCCCUCCAGGCAGGGGUGGUGCCUGGUGCCAGGGCCCCCACAGCAGGGUUGGAGGCUGCCCUAGGCUAUGAGAGACACAGCAUCUGCGGGUCCCUCCCCAAGUACACAGGUGGGGGUGGCGGGGGGGCAAAGCUGCGCCUGCUCGAGCCCCAUCGCCCUGCAGCGGUCCUUGGCAGCUGGCAGCAGGGACAGUGCCAGGAAGGGAGCCCUGCCAGGCCCCCAGUCCCCGCAGCCACCCACCCACUGCCCCGCCCUGGGGCUCAUUCUGUGCUUGCCACCCUGGAGCCUGGUCCUGGAGGGGACGAGCGGUAGAAUCCCCAUGCCUGUGUCAGGGACCGGCACAGAGACCUCCCACCCGUGGGAACUCCCGAUGAGAUCCGGCAGGUCAGGCCUGGGAGGGAAUGCUGCCCAGGGGCUCUGCGAAUGCUGCCCAGGGGCUGUGCAGAUGAUGUGGGUUUCCACCAGCAGAAUCCAAUAGGCCCCAUGGACAAUGACCACAGGCAAUGAGAAAGCUGUAGAGUGGUGCAUGUGAGAUCAGCGUCCAGAACUCACGGCUCUCAGACACCUACUCACAGCACAGCGUGCUAGGAGAUGGAGUGGCAGACGAUAUUUCAUCUAGGACAGCAAGAGAGAAGAUGCUCCCAGCAUAAACCUAGCCAGAAACGUGGGAAAGCUGCCACAGAGGCUGAAGUUAAAGGCACCCUGACCCCCGGGCCCCGAAGAGGCGCCACAGCUGCAAACAUGCACAUUCUUCCGAUGCAAUUCGUAAAUUUAAUACGAUCCCAAUAAAACCACACUUCUGGAACUAUUAUGCUCAUAUGGAAAAAUUAAUAAGCAAGUAACAGCCAAAAAAACAUGAAAAGAAAGUGAAAGAGGACCAGCUUUAUAAGCUCAGGGGAAACUUACUGUAAUGAAAACAGGGCAGUAUAAGCACCAGAAGACAGAGGAACAGGCCCAGUCCCUGAGACCCAAAUCAGUAGGGGGGAAAAGACUUUUUAACCAACGGCCCAGGGAUAGGGAUAGUCAUUUGGAAAAGCACUAAGUUAGACUCAUAGGCACAAAUCCCAAAUGCAGCAGAGACAGAAGCAUAAAAAAAGAACCCUGGCCAGGCGCGGUGGCUCACACCUGUAAUCCCAGCACUUUGGGAGCUCGAGGCGGAUGGAUCAUGAGGUCAGGAGAUCCAGACCAUUCUGGUUAACACGGUGAAACCCCAUCUCUACUAAAAAUACAAAAAAUUAGCUGGGUGUGGUGGCGGGUGCCUGUAGUCCCAGCUACUUGGGAGGCUAAGGCAGGAGAAUGGCGUCAACCCGGGAGGCAGAGCUUGCAGUGAGCCGAGAUGGCGCCACUGCACUCCAGCCUGGGCAACAGAGCGGGACUCCAUCUCUAAAAAAAAAAAAAAAAA
Molecule: long non-coding RNA, 1653 nt
Organism: Macaca fascicularis (crab-eating macaque)
Lineage: Eukaryota; Metazoa; Chordata; Mammalia; Primates; Cercopithecidae
Source: Ensembl